GAUGAACGCUGGCGGCGUGCCUAAUACAUGCAAGUCGAGCGAACAGACGAGGAGCUUGCUCCUCUGACGUUAGCGGCGGACGGGUGAGUAACACGUGGAUAACCUACCUAUAAGACUGGGAUAACUUCGGGAAACCGGAGCUAAUACCGGAUAAUAUAUUGAACCGCGUGGUUCAAUAGUGAAAGACGGUUUUGCUGUCACUUAUAGAUGGAUCCGCGCCGCAUUAGCUAGUUGGUAAGGUAACGGCUUACCAAGGCAACGAUGCGUAGCCGACCUGAGAGGGUGAUCGGCCACACUGGAACUGAGACACGGUCCAGACUCCUACGGGAGGCAGCAGUAGGGAAUCUUCCGCAAUGGGCGAAAGCUUGACGGAGCAACGCCGCGUGAGUGAUGAAGGUCUUCGGAUCGUAAAACUCUGUUAUUAGGGAAGAACAAAUGUGUAAGUAACUAUGCACGUCUUGUCGGUACCUAAUCAGAAAGCCACGGCUAACUACGUG
This 497-nucleotide ribosomal RNA is filed under the name uncultured bacterium. Its description in RNAcentral is "partial 16S ribosomal RNA". It matches the Rfam family "Bacterial small subunit ribosomal RNA", at positions 28 to 507 of the family's 1533-position model. The record is from RNAcentral.